RNAcentral lists this ribosomal RNA (468 nucleotides) under uncultured bacterium. Its description in RNAcentral is "partial 16S ribosomal RNA". It matches the Rfam family "Bacterial small subunit ribosomal RNA", at positions 28 to 507 of the family's 1533-position model. The record is from RNAcentral.
GACGAACGCUGGCGGCGUGCUUAAUACAUGCAAGUCGAACGGAAAGGCCCUGCUUUUGUGGGGUGCUCGAGUGGCGAACGGGGGAGUAACACGUGAGUAACCCGCCCUUGUCUGUGGGAGAACUUCAGGAAACUGGGGCUAUUACAGGAUAGGAUCUCCUGCAGCACGUUGGGGGUUGGAAAGUGUCGGCGGUAGUGGAUGGACUCGCGGCUUAUCAGCUUGUUGGUGGGGUAGGGGCUUCCCACGUCUUUGACGGGUAGCAGGCCUGGGAGGGUAGCCGGCCACAUUGGGCCUGCGAUACGGCCCAGACUCCUACGUGCGGCAGCAGUGGGGAAUAUUGCGCAAUGGGCGCAAGCCUGAUGCAGCAACGCCGCGUGCGGGAUGCCGGCCUUCGAGUUGUAAACCUCUUUCUCCUGUGACGAGGCGUGAGUGACGGUAAUGAGUAAAGAAGCACCGGCUAACUACGUG